RNAcentral lists this ribosomal RNA (504 nucleotides) under Triticum aestivum (bread wheat). Its description in RNAcentral is "partial small subunit ribosomal RNA". Lineage: Eukaryota; Viridiplantae; Streptophyta; Magnoliopsida; Poales; Poaceae. The record is from RNAcentral.
AUGCGUGAUCUCAAACACGCGGCUGGAGCUUGGGUCGACGAACUUCCAUCUGUACUCUGGGGACUGCGGACCACGCCCAAUCGGUCGACUGGAAGAACUCCAUUCUUCUUGGUCUAUGGAGCUGAAGCAGUCUUGCCGAGUGACCUUCUGCAUAAUGCUCCUCGAGUCGAAAUCUAUAACGAAGCAGAAGCUGAACAAGCGCGGCAGGACGCAGUCGACCUUUUGGAGGAAGAAAGGGAGAUGGCUCUGAUCCGCUCGACCAUCUACCAACAAGAUCUGCGCCGUUUCCACGCCCGAAAUGUGAGAGGUCGAGCCUUCCAGGAAGGAGAUCUGGUUCUCCGAGUGGAUCAGCACAAACCACACAAGCUUGCUCCUUCUUGGGAAGGCCCCUUCAUCGUCACUAAGGUUCUCCACAACGGGGCGUACCGUCUUUACAACGUCGAGCAUAAUAUCGACGAGCCCCGAGCCUGGAACGCGGAGCUACUCCGCCCAUUUUACACUUAA